AUUGCCUAUCGAACAACCUAUGGUAGGUAGAUUCUGCCCGGUGACAACGUUAAACGGCCGCGGUACCCUGACCGUGCAAAGGUAGCAUAAUCAUUCGCCUCCUAAUUAGAGGCUAGUAUGAAAGAACUAACGUGAGCUCCCCUGUCUCUUCUAUGAACAUAUAACUUAACCUCUAGGUGAAAAGGCCUAGAUACUACUAAUAGACAAGAAGACCCUAUCGAGCUUUAUUGCUAAGUCUCUCUAUAAACUGUUCCAUCAACUUUAUACAGAACCUAAGCCAUUUUGUUGGGGCAACAAAGGAACACCAAAACCUUCCUCUCAAAACUAAAACAUACCAAGACCCAGCAACGCUGAUCAAAGAAAAAAGCUACCGUAGGGAUAACAGGUUAAUUUUUCUCGAGAGCCCACAUCAACAGAAAAGUUUGACACCUCGAUGUUGGCUUAGGCUAUCCAGUUAAUGCAGAAGUUAACAACGGUGGGUUUGUUCAACCCUUAAUAGCCUACG
Molecule: ribosomal RNA, 505 nt
Filed under: Amphinome rostrata
Lineage: Eukaryota; Metazoa; Annelida; Polychaeta; Eunicida; Amphinomidae
Description: partial 16S ribosomal RNA
Rfam family: Archaeal large subunit ribosomal RNA
Source: RNAcentral